RNAcentral lists this ribosomal RNA (467 nucleotides) under uncultured bacterium. RNAcentral describes it as "partial 16S ribosomal RNA". It matches the Rfam family "Bacterial small subunit ribosomal RNA", at positions 28 to 507 of the family's 1533-position model. The record is from RNAcentral.
GUUGAACGCUGGCGGCGCGCCUAACACAUGCAAGUCGAACGAUUAAAGCACCUUCGGGUGUGUAUAAAGUGGCGAACGGCUGAGUAACACGUGGGCAACCUGCCCCUCUCAUUGGGAUAGCCACGGGAAACCGUGGAUAAUACCGAAUACUUCGGGACUUCCGCAUGGAAGACUCGAGAAAGCUCCGGCGGAGAGGGAUGGGCCCGCGGCCUGUUAGCUUGUUGGUGGGGUAAUGGCCUACCAAGGCAAUGAUGGGUAGCUGGGUUGAGAGACCGACCAGCCAGAUUGGGACUGAGACACGGCCCAGACUCCUACGGGAGGCAGCAGUGGGGAAUCUUGCACAAUGGGCGAAAGCCUGAUGCAGCGACGCCGCGUGCGGGAUGAAGGCCUUCGGGUUGUAAACCGCUUUCAGCAGGGACGAGGCGAAAGUGACGGUACCUGCAGAAGAAGCCCCGGCUAACUACGUG